This 484-nucleotide ribosomal RNA is filed under the name uncultured bacterium. RNAcentral's name for it is "bacterial SSU rRNA". It matches the Rfam family "Bacterial small subunit ribosomal RNA", at positions 21 to 507 of the family's 1533-position model. The record is from RNAcentral.
GGCUCAGAUUGAACGCUGGCGGCAUGCUUUACACAUGCAAGUCGAACGGUAACAGGCCUUCGGGCGCUGACGAGUGGCGAACGGGUGAGUAACGCAUCGGAACGUGCCCAGUCGUGGGGGAUAACGCAGCGAAAGCUGUGCUAAUACCGCAUACGAUCUGCGGAUGAAAGCGGGGGACCUUAGGGCCUCGCGCGAUUGGAGCGGCCGAUGUCAGAUUAGGUAGUUGGUGGGGUAAAGGCCCACCAAGCCAACGAUCUGUAGCUGGUCUGAGAGGACGACCAGCCACACUGGGACUGAGACACGGCCCAGACUCCUACGGGAGGCAGCAGUGGGGAAUAUUGGACAAUGGGCGCAAGCCUGAUCCAGCCAUGCCGCGUGCAGGAAGAAGCAUCUAUGGUGUGUAAACUGCUUUUGUACGGGAAGAAACACUCCUUCGUGAAGGAGCUUGACGGUACCGUAAGAAUAAGGAUCGGCUAACUCCGUG